Molecule: long non-coding RNA, 1315 nt
Organism: Anguilla rostrata (American eel)
Lineage: Eukaryota; Metazoa; Chordata; Actinopteri; Anguilliformes; Anguillidae
Exons: 2
Source: RefSeq, a predicted model, not a curated record
CCUGCGUAGAUAAUGGAGGGACACAGAGUAGCAUUGAUCUACUUUAGCGUGCCAAUCAGGUCUUCUGAUGACGUGCUUUUUCUGGUUACGUGCAGGAACCCCACGUAAUAGUUUGAAGAAACAAGAUAAAACUUCUGAGAAAGGCAAGCAGAAAGAUAUUUCAGGCUGCUGAAAGAACUGGUUCACUGGGCAUUGACAUAAGAAAAAAAAGAGAGACAAUGUAUGACGUCAAAAUUCUUACCUUCACAGAGACACAGCAAAAAGGAGCAAGAUCAGUAUUAACAACAAGCAGCCGUAAGUUGCCGGGUAAGUAAGUCAGAUCCACGGUGCCGGCUCCUGUGACACCUGUGCGGCUGCCAAUGACUCAACAGAGACUGCCUCAAUUGGAUCAGCCCUGUAUCUCUCAGCGGCAUCUUCCAGACGGACGAAACGAGCCUGCCCCGCCAUUCUUUCCAGGCAGGGCGAAAUAGCCCCCUUUUGUUGUGCAAACGCACUUGAAAAUAAGCCGUGAAUCAGACCGCGGAGAAUAAAGACACGCCUUUCUGCGCGGGAGUCCCUGUGUUCCCCGGCAGGCCGUGUGCCGCCGCAUCCGUACGCCGUCACGUUAGAACGGCCGAGAAUUUGUCAUCGAAAUCAAAAAUACAAAUUUGUGACAAAAAAAAUGAACUCACUAGAAAUCGGUUCCCUGCAUUUAUCUGUUAUGUAUUUCAAAGAUCUACGGUACAGCAUGAAAAAAGAGAGAAAGGUCAGUCACAGGAGGGGGAAGGACUGGGUAGAGAGAGAGAGAGAAAAAAAAAAAAACAUUAAGUAUCAUGCCUCACGACCCGCGCUCACUCAGUCAGACUGCUCAGCAAUGCGCAGACACAAGGUUAACUGCCAGGCUCUGACAUCACAGCUCAGAGGCUCCGGAUGGGGACGGGAGCCGUGCAGCCGGGCCCGCGUAGCCGGGCUCUUUUCCGCGUUUUUCAGGCGUCCAGCGAGCGCGGGACAGGCGAGGCCGAGCCGCUGGGAAAGGCUAGGAGAGGUCACGCCUGCCCUCCAAACAAGCCCCCGUCCUCCUGCGCUCAGCUCACAUUUCCCUGGAGGAAUCUGUAAGCGGCACAGUGUGACUUUAGUGAGGGGGGGUGGUUGGGGGGGGGGGCUCGGGAGCGGGAUGGCGCCUUCAGCAUGUCUAAUGUGGGAAGACCUCCAGUCUCUCUCCCACAGUGAUAUUAAGGACACAAGACUAACUCCUGGCUAUAACAGAUUUCAUAUUAGCCUGAAUUCAUUCUUUCAUUACUGACACAGCCCCUCACACCCCCACCCCCCCCCCCCC